CUGUUCGAUGUCAUUCUGGUGUGGUUUGAUGUCAUUCUGGUGUCAGAAGAAUUGCCGAAUGACACAAUUCUUCUGCCGAAUGGAAUAUAAUCCCUACUGAAAAACAUGUAACAUCAUAAUUUCAAUUUUCUACAUUAAAUGAAAAAUAAACCAUCAAAGCCUAUUAUUACUUUCAUAAGACACUUAUCAGUUUUCAUUCAUCUCUUAUUGGAUAGCACUCUAAUACACACAUUGUUUUGUGUAUGGAUGCGUGUUAUUUUAUGGUAAUGUUUACUUUGAAUAGUCAGAGAUCAGAGAUGUAUACUUCCGACAAGUUUGCCUUCCCUUCCGUAGGAAAAAUUCAGUGGCAAGUACGAGGGCCUUCCGUUGGAACGUUGCCAAGAAACGUGAAAUCUUUAAAGAACGCAUUGGAAAAGCGGCCGCAUUGGUAACAGUGUCCGAAUGCGAAACCAGGUGAUUUUGUGAGUGCGAGCCUCUACUCCUCCAACUCAAAUAACUAACAUUGGGAUAAGAAUUGUGUGUAUUAGGUGCUUUCCACAUUACUAAGUGUCUAUGAGUUACCCGGGUUAACUAUAAAUAUGCUUAUACGUAAUUGAUUGGGGAUUUGUAAACAAAAUAAAUGCAAAGUUUCAUUUUAAAUUGACAUCAAAAUAUACAUUUGUUAUUGCCAAAAAUCUGACACGCAUGCCCUUUUCUCAAUACUUUUAAAGAAGGUAUUUAGCAUCUUUCUUUCGUGUAUUGAAAUUGUUUAGUAAAUUAAUAUAUGUCAGAUUUUAUUCAGUUAUUAGUUUCGUAACUGUGACAGCCUGAGCUUGAAUUUGAUCAACACCAUCCAAAUGUAUUCCUUUUAUAAAUUAAUUCCAAUAAAGGCGGUGCUAGGGGCGUAGGAAAUUGUGCUCUUCAUUAUCUCUUAUGAUCAUGAACAGACUCAAUCACACUAAGUCUGCCAUCAUUUCGCGUGGUUGCAUUCUAUGUUUCUAUAGGAUCUUCUUACAGGUUUUAUGGAUUGGGAUUUCAGGAACUGAUAAUAUAUUCUGAGUAAUUCCCUCUGUGUUACUGCAGGAUUACUGCAUUAAACCCAAUGGUUAAUCCAUACAAAUUUGAAUCUAUAUUAAGCGUAACUGAGCAGAUAUAUAUUUUUUGAUUGUCUGCUUGAAAACAGCAACAUUUCUGAAAAUGUUAAAACUGUAAAUAACAGUCAUUGUCAACAUGUAAAACAUUAAGACAGUGGCCAAUUUUAAUUAUGUAUAAACUAAUACAUAAGUUCAGUAUUUUCCAACUGUAUAAAUAUAAUACUUUCAUUUACUGAAAUGACAAACAAGAGUGUACAUAUGCAUUUAUUUCAAAAGUAAGUCGUACUAAUGGCUGAUCAGAGUUUUUUCUGGUAUGAAAUUACAUGUAUUCGCUUUUUUUUUGGCUUUUUUCCACCAUAAAUGAUUACAAUGUAACCAUGGAAACUUAGGUCAUACAACCACACUACAACUGUUGGUCUCACUUUUGAUCUGAUCUUGCCGUGUAUUUGAUUGAAUAAAUGAUUUUGACUCGCACAAGAAAAUACAAGUUACAGACAUUCAAGAUGUGUGCUG
Long non-coding RNA from Mercenaria mercenaria, 1586 nucleotides. RefSeq lists it as uncharacterized. Lineage: Eukaryota; Metazoa; Mollusca; Bivalvia; Venerida; Veneridae. The transcript has 3 exons. The record is from RefSeq and is a predicted model, not a curated record.